Long non-coding RNA from Vigna angularis (adzuki bean), 419 nucleotides. RefSeq lists it as uncharacterized. NCBI's taxonomy places the organism in Eukaryota, Viridiplantae, Streptophyta, Magnoliopsida, Fabales, Fabaceae. The transcript has 2 exons. The record is from RefSeq and is a predicted model, not a curated record.
UAUUGCUUUCGAUAUACCACAAUUGUUCGAAAUGACUAAGUUUUUCUUUUCACAAAUACUUGCCUUUAUCCUUAUCAUUUCAGUUAUUUUAAGAACAGGCGCAACAGAUCCACAAAGAUGUCAAAAAGUGUUACAGCCCACAGACUGCAUCCUCCAAAAAUGUCAAUCGGAUUGCUUCAACAUGUUUAAAAACUCACAAGCGAGUGGAAAUUGCAUUCACAACAACAAUAAUAAUACUUUUGAAUGUGUUUGCAUCUUUAAUUGUAAUGCAAUACCAAAUUUGGUGUAAACUUAACUACUGGUAAUAUGUACCCAGUGGAAGAGGGUGAGAGAAAUAAGUUUUCUAGAAGUUAAUCUAGAAAUAUGUAACAAUAAAGUUUUAUUACCCAUUUGAGUAAAAAGUUGGCAUUUUCUCCUUA